Trametes maxima is the source of this 88-nucleotide non-coding RNA. NCBI's taxonomy places the organism in Eukaryota, Fungi, Basidiomycota, Agaricomycetes, Polyporales, Polyporaceae. The record is from the annotation of a GenBank genome assembly.
UCCCGUUUAGCUCAGUUGGUAGAGCGCGUCACUAGUAUGAUUACAUCAUUCAAUGACGAGGUCAGUCGUUCGAGUCGGCUAAUGGGAA